UCCCACACUUAGAAAAAGAAAGCAAGAAGUUGAAGAACCAACCAUGGCUCUCGGCUAGCACAUGGAAAAUCAAGAUCAUUUUUUUAGCCUCUCCAAAAUUUAUUCCUUGGUACAAACCCACUAAGUUGAGGUCCCUAAGUAACGUGGAAGCGUUGUUGGAGCGAUCAAGCCAUCAAUUUUGUGGAUUUCAAACCCUAAGCAAAUUGUGGAGUAAAGAAGAAAUACCUUGGGGAGCCCGAGGCGUAGAUUGGAUAUUUACUUUAGAUUGACCAUCUUGGAAUGCGUACGAGGUACAGACGCACAGUUUGGUGAUUCACCAGUUUAGGACAUCCCCUUCUGCUGUUUGGAGUGCUCUUCUCAUUUCAGAACACAUAUGUUGGUAUAUAUAUUUGUUCGCCGAGUAUGUAUAUAUAUUUGUUCAGGGGUACAGCGGGGCCCUGUCCCGCCAUAUGAUUCGUUUGGUCUGUUUAGAGGUCUGUAGACGUAGUUGUGUGUGUGUGUGCCUACUUCUGUUCCGAUGUGUUUGUAUGAUGCUAUUCGUUAUGGCAGCCUUGUCGGCGUGCAUUUGUAUCUGUGUUUUGGGCCGUUGUGCCAAUUGACAGCCUUGUCGGCUUUUGACAUAUUUGACAGCCUUGUCGGUUUUUGACAUAUUUGAUAGCCUUGCCGGCUUUUUGAGAUA
Molecule: long non-coding RNA, 679 nt
Organism: Lycium barbarum (goji berry)
Lineage: Eukaryota; Viridiplantae; Streptophyta; Magnoliopsida; Solanales; Solanaceae
Exons: 3
Source: RefSeq, a predicted model, not a curated record